CAGGCCUAACACAUGCAAGUCGAACGCUCGUAGCAAUACGGGAGUGGCAGACGGGUGAGUAACGCGUGGGAACAUACCCUCCGGUUCGGAAUAGCUCAGGGAAACUUGGAUUAAUACCGGAUACGGCUGAGAGGCGAAAGAUUUAUCGCCGGAGGAUUGGCCCGCGUUCGAUUAGCUUGUUGGUGAGGUAACGGCUCACCAAGGCGAUGAUCGAUAGCUGGUCUGAGAGGAUGAUCAGCCACAUUGGGACUGAGACACGGCCCAAACUCCUACGGGAGGCAGCAGUGGGGAAUAUUGGACAAUGGGCGCAAGCCUGAUCCAGCCAUGCCGCGUGAGUGAUGACGGCCUUAGGGUUGUAAAGCUCUUUCAGUGGGGAAGAUAAUGACGGUACCCACAGAAGAAGCCCCGGCUAACUUCGUGCCAGCAGCCGCGGUAAUACA
RNAcentral lists this ribosomal RNA (440 nucleotides) under uncultured Alphaproteobacteria bacterium. RNAcentral's name for it is "bacterial SSU rRNA". It matches the Rfam family "Bacterial small subunit ribosomal RNA", at positions 43 to 527 of the family's 1533-position model. Lineage: Bacteria; Pseudomonadati; Pseudomonadota; Alphaproteobacteria. The record is from RNAcentral.